UGUAAAUUAUAUUGAAAAAUUUGCCAUGCAAAAAGAUUAAGCGUUAAUGAAAUAAUUGUAAAAUUUUAAAGAAAAGAUGGGUUAGACGUCUUUCCUUAAGAUGCACGUUUGGCAUAUCUUUAAUUAUUUUCGAUAUCCAUUUGAACCAUUCGAUAUGUCUAUAAUGCAAUUCUUAAAACAAGCUUCGAGAUGAUUUAAGCGAUUUGUGGAUUCAGCUGCCGUACGAUUGUCGAAGAAUUUUUGAAGUUAUCAUGUUAUUGAAAAUCUUGAAAUACUAGUUUGAAAUGGCCUAUUUUGACAAUUCGUAAGAUUUGCUAAGAUUGACUGUUUUGCAUGCCAUUAACAACGUGGAACUAGGUCGUGAAUAUUUCGAAAUGGUAUUAAGAAUGCAAUAUUUCGACUUCUUUUGUCAUUCCAUAAUGACCUGAGAAUUGAGACAAAAACAUAAAAAAUUUAAUGUGGUAAAAAAAAAGAAAGAAAUAAAACUUGCCCAGAAGUCGGGGAUCAUGUCUAGCCACCCUUGUCAAAACUUUGGCUUUGGUUCACCUCAUUUACUAAAACGGAAAAAUGGAAAAGAUUUCAACAUGACUCUGAAAUUCAAAAUCGGACAUUUUAAUCUCUUCUAGCUAACCAUUAAGUGUUUGCUUUUGCUUCUGCUUCUGUCUGUGUGCAUAUGUAUGUAUUAUGCAUAUAUAAAAUCAGGAUAUUUGGCAUUUCACAAAUAUGCACAUUGACACGCUAAUAUGUGUAUUUGUUCGUGAAAAAAAUUAUAAUGCUUAUAGACAUGCUAAUAAAUGUAUUUUUCCGUGAAAGAUGUUUAACUAUGUACUAUAAAAAUUAUUAAGAAACCACUUUUGCACUGGAAAAUCAUAAUUAGGUGCUUCUGUAAGAAUGAACAUAUUGGUAGAAUUGUUCACGUGAUAAACUUUCCACUGGGCAUGUUGUUAUGUGAAAGAUAUUGUUGCAAUGAACAAUGGUUGUAAGCUUCGACAUUUUUCUGCAUCUCCACAAUUAUCUUCUCUACUUUAUCAAUGUGAAUACCUAGAAGGUAUGGCACAGGUCUUAUAAACUGUUCUCAUAUGUGGUCACUACACAUAUUUCAUUUGCAAGACUGAUAUGUGUAGGGAGAUAAAUGUGGUAUUUACAUCUGACUUGUGUGUUCUGUCUCCAGUUCAUUGGAAAUUAUCAGGAAACAUGUGGUAUCAGGACUGGGUGGGGUGCUGGUAAGUGCCAUCUGGUUUUCUGUCUAAUUCUUUGCAUUGUUUACUUAAAAUGGAAGCUUAAAAAGUUUAUCACGUAUCUUUCAGAUUUUUUCGCCUUUUCCUUCUGUCCAUCAUAAGCUUCUCGAUUAUCUGAACGUUCUUCUCUAGCUCUUUCCGUUCAAUGCAAUGCAAUUAUAAAUGGACAUGUCUCUUAACUUUGCGAACUUCACAAUAUUUAUUGCCAGUCUUCAGAACGCCAGCCUCGUGAUAUCUGAUCUUGCUCUAUCUUUGGUCAUUUAUUUAGCCCAGAUUUUGGAUAAUAAUCUCCUAAGUUAGAACUUGGAAUUUAGGACUUAUGCUUAUAUGGAUGGAACGAAUCUGGAGCAUCGAAGUAAACAAGGGUUCUCUUUACAUUUUUCGUCUCCUAGUGAAUAGUGAAGUGGUUGGGGGAGGCCAGAGCUGCAUCUAUAUUCUCUGGCAUUCUUUUGGUCAAUAUGAAAAGGGGAAUGGAUGAAAGAAUUUUAAUCUAUACAUAGAUUUAUGUGAUGUUAAAGGUGAGGGUCCCGCGGCCAUCUGCCUUUUUCUUCUUUUGUUUUCAUUGUAACCAGGAACUGUAUACUGAAUUAAAUGUUACUGAAAUACUGAAUCAGAAAUCUGAGAUUCAUUCCAGGAUGUGGUUAUCAAUUUCCUUCUAGUUCCAUCUGUUAUUACUGAAAACUCACCCUCUGAAACCAAGUGUGGGAUGACCUCUCUGACGUUGGACAUGGGUUGGGGGGGGGCAAAGAGGUAAAAUGAUGCCAUUUAUUGUAACCAAAGACAAGCUCUAGCUUAUCAAACUAAUGAGGGUGAUUACAUAAAUUACAACUUUGAUUUCUCUCUUUCCCUGAAUUUUUCAUUAGAAACUACUCUUUGUUUCUCAUUUCUCUCGGGAACUAUGGCGUCAGCUUGUGCAUAUGACAUUGCAUCUUUAGCCAUGUGCUUAGCUUGAAUGCAACCAAAAGGUUUUGCUGAAAGUAAACAAUGGAGGGUUCACGUGCAUAAGCUCCCGUUUGGCCCUCAUUAAAAUAAUAAUUUAUUUUUCUCUCUUCUUAUCAAUAACACAUUCUCCAAUAAAAUAAUAUUACAUGAAAAUCCAAGACUUUUUCUUCUUUUUUAACCACGUAUUUUUCAAAAAAGUACUACUCCAAAAUUUAUAAUCUCAAAUAAUGGAGGACAAACGGGGGCUAAAUCUGGCUAAAAACUGCAAGAUUGUUCUAUUAAAUAAGUGUAAUAGUGGGUUUCUUUUAGCAAGAUUAAAUUAAUGAAUUGGUAUGUGAGAAUUAUUCCGUAAACUUAUGGUCAUCUUUUUGUGAUGCAGUUAUAUUUGCAGAAGCAGUUGCGCUUAUAGCUGCUAGCACUGUUCAUCGAGUUUGUAUCACAACAUGGUAAUGCAAUCAUGCUUCUGAUCUUUACUUGAUCGUCAUUGUAUUUUUAUAUUUUGAAUAAGAAGUCCAAUUUUAGUUGUGUAUUUAAUUUGAGUUCAUAAAGUAGGAGGCAUUAUAGAAUACAAUUUCAACUGAACUGGUUCCUUGUAGUUUCACAUGAACAGUAGAAAGUAUAAGUAGUGCGGCCAAAGGAGUCCUUACUGGUUGAUCUCCAUUUUGGUUAAAUUGAAAGUAUCCCUGAGCUCAGACUUUUGUUGACUACUAGGUUCUUUAGAUAUAUGUUCAAGCUAUACCUACACGAAUAAAAUCAUAUUCAACUCUAUGUGAUGUGCUUUUAUCUGCUGUCCAAGCCCCUACCUUUAAAAGACUUUGAAUAGAAGAAGGCUUACCAAAAAUUAGGGUAGAGUUGUGCAGUCAAGUUUGUAGUUAGAGAAGAGUCAUGAAUGCAUCUUUGUCCUGCACUAAUGAAUAUGGAAUUCCAAUCCAUUUUGAGCCACCUCAUCCAUAUGCGUGUUCUUACUAUUUAUAACUUUCAAAAUAAAACCACGUUUCUCUGUGGGAGUCAUCAUCGCUUUUGGGGUGGCUUCCACUUCUCUGAAGGGAACGAUCUCUCAUAUUCCAGGGAGCAGCCUAACUAUUGGUCUAUCAACUGGCCAUGAGAUAUUGAUAUAUGUAACAAACUGCUUCAAUGGCAUCUUGGGAUUGACCAUGAAUUUUGAUUUUAUGUAAUAAGCUAAAAUUCUUACACCUUCUCAAGUCAUAGUCUAUUAUGUUGUUAUUGCCUUGAAAAAUACUGAUGAAAGAACUUAAAUGCUAUAACAAAUUAUUUGCUGUGGAAUUUUUUUUUUCACUCUGAUUAAGUGCUUUUUGGAUACCAAUGCAGCUUUCUGUUUUCUGCGGGGCUAUUAUAUGAGAUCAACAAACUUUCGGGAAUGAUGCUUUCCAAAAGUGAAUCCAAAAGUAAAAGGUAUUGAGUUGAAAUUGUUGCCUUGGAGGAACUGCUUCCUUCAAGAACUCUCUUGGGGCUUUUUGUUAGAUACUUGCAUAAGCGAGAUGCACUGGUUAGUGGAAUAGACUGAGAAGUUUGAAUAUGGAUGGUUAAAUUUUGUGGUUAUUAGAUGCUAAGGGGCCUUAUUAAUAUAUAGAUAUAACCUCAUUUGUGCAACUGCAAUGGUAAGAAUUAAAUGAACAUAUGAGGCGUCUUAUUUAUUUUUCAAUUUUUAUGUUAUACUUCUAUGAGACUUAUUUACAUCGUUCU
This 3884-nucleotide long non-coding RNA is filed under the name Olea europaea subsp. europaea. Lineage: Eukaryota; Viridiplantae; Streptophyta; Magnoliopsida; Lamiales; Oleaceae. The record is from RNAcentral.